This 7382-nucleotide long non-coding RNA is filed under the name Capsella rubella. RNAcentral describes it as "long non-coding RNA (CRUB_LNC001793)". The record is from RNAcentral. Lineage: Eukaryota; Viridiplantae; Streptophyta; Magnoliopsida; Brassicales; Brassicaceae.
AACAAACCUGUGAAUAACCGGAAUUGGGAAUUAUAGGUGUGGCCACCAAUUGGAAAGAAGAAGUUUGAGACUCUAUCUUACCUUCCCGACCUUUCCGAUGUCGAAUUGGGAAAGGAAGUUGACUACCUUCUCCGCAACAAGUGGAUUCCCUGCGUCGAAUUCGAGUUGGAGGUAAUUAAUUCAUAAGUAUAGUUACAUUGCUAGAAACCUAACUCAAUAACAUGAUUUUAUAAUCCGGAAAACAAUGUGAAUAGUCCUAUAUCAAUUGUAUUGAAUGGUUUUUCGAUGCGUGUAUAGCACGGAUUUGUGUACCGUGAGCACGGAAGCACACCCGGAUACUACGAUGGAAGGUACUGGACAAUGUGGAAGCUCCCAUUGUUCGGAUGCACUGACUCAGCUCAAGUGUUGAAGGAGGUCGAAGAGUGCAAGAAGGAGUACCCCAACGCCUUCAUUAGGAUCAUCGGAUUCGACAACACCCGUCAAGUCCAAUGCAUCAGUUUCAUCGCCUACAAGCCACCAAGCUUCACCGAGGCUUAAUUUCUUUUCCGGAAUAUUCAAUGUUGGCUAUGGGGAAACCAAUUUUUUUGGUCAAUGUAAAUUCAAAGUAAUUAUCAGCCAACUUAAAAGUUGAGGAAUUGUUUUGCAAAAAUGAAAAAGUUAAAAGGUUUUUUUUUUCUAUCACUUUAUUUUUCGUCUUAGUCAUUUUUACUCUUUUAUAUUCGUUUUAGCUCCUUUUAAUUUCAACAACAGUUUUUUCCUUUAAUUUCUCUUCAUAAUUCUUGAUUUUGAGUCUUGACUCUCUAGACUAACAUCCAACAAAAAGAGAUAUGGACCUUUUUGCUAACUUUAAAAAACAAAUUGCACAUGGCAAUGUAUCAUGGAUAAUUAUUAAGUUUGAUUCAAGUCCAAAAAGUAUAUGGCAACGUAUCAAGCGUGAAUAUUUAAAAUUUGGAAAUUGUUUUACCUUAAAUAGAUAAUUAACUAUUCAAAGCUAUCACAAGGAAAAGUAAUCAAUGUUCCAAAAUAUUCAAGAUUAACGAAUAAAUAUGAAAUUAUUCUUGCUUCUAUAUGAUGAUGAAAGAAUCCAAAUGUUUGUUUUAGGUUUUUUUUCUUCGAGAAAAUACAAAAAAUAAAAUAUCAAUUCUCUGAAAUUCUACACAAUCAAGAUUAAAAAACGGAAAAAAUACAAGAAUUAAGUUGUGUAUUUUUUAAUUUCCAUUUUUCUCCAUUUUAUGUCGUAUUUAUUUCGCAUAAUUUUCUUAUGUCAAACAAAAAGGAUGGAGAAAGAAAAAAAAAAAGCGAACAACAAAGAGUACCUAUGAUCUUACGAAAGAGUAUCUAAGAUCAUGUAACUUGAACGUCAAUUGCGUAAGAGAUCUUGAAAGGACUCAGGAGUUUGAGGUAUGAUAGUUUGAGAUGAGAGAAGUGGGGCACUUUUAUAAAUAACAAAAAGUUUGGAACGAAUUUGUAAUUACCAAAAGUUAUGGGGCGAUUUCAUAAUUACCAAACGUUUUGGGUCAUUUUUUAAUUAAACAAAACUGUGGGGAAAAAUUUGUCAUUAUUUUAAGUUGUGCGGAAAUUUCGUAUUUACUGAAAGUUGUGGGGCAAUUUCGUAUUUACAUAAAGUUGUGAGGCAAUUUCGUAUUUACCGGAAGUUUUUGGGCAAUUUUGUAAUUACCAAAAGUUGUAGGGUAAUUUCAUAAUCACCAAAAGUUGAAGCGUUAUUUUGUAAUUACCAGAAAUUGUGGGGCAAUUCUUAAUUACAGAAAGUUAUGGAAAAUACAGUAAUUUUCCAUGGGCGAUUUCGUAGUUAAGAACAGAUAUGUGGUGCUCUUUUUAGCUGUCAAAACUUGUUUUAUCAUUUCAUAAAUAUCGAUAUAUGGGGGUAUUUUGUAAUUAUAACAAAAUGUAUGGUAAUUUAAAAAGAUGUUUGGCAUUUUGUAAUUACUGGAAUUGUGAGUCAGCUUUAAUUAACAACAUAUAUGGGACUAUUUCAUAAUUACUAGAAUAUCUAAAAGAUUACGCUUACGCUUUCAUUAGACCGGCCAUAAACAAAUCGUGAGAGCCCAAUGAACAUUUGUAUUGAAUUCCAAGUUUUUUACAGCAUAUAUUAUUUGCAAAUAGGCCCCAACAAUAUUUAUUUACAAAUUGGCCCCAUAUUAUUGUUACUUUGGCCUCCAAAUUUUCUGACCGGACCCUGCUUAAAAGAAAUGGAUGCAUGCUUUGUCGUCUAUAUCAAGCCUAAACUUUGUAUGGAGUUGUAUAACAAGACAUCAUUUACGAGAAUGAUUAGGAUCAAGCAAGAGCUAAUCUAUUUGUGAGAAGAAUGAUGAGUUUCGUUUGGUUUAGCCGUUUAGGUGAGAGUGAUACUGUGAUAGUGAAAGAAACUUACUUUCAGAAAUGCCCUAAUUAAACUAUAUUGGGGAAUAGUUGAACCCGCCAAGAGAUGAAACAUAUUCAGAAUAAAUUUGUUUUUUUCCGAAGAAUGUUGUAUGCUUUGCAACAGUAGGAUUUGAACCUUGUGUAGUACUAGCCGUAAGACAUAAUACAUAGUAGCCAACAGUUCAAACCUGAUAACAAAAUAGGAUCUCUACCACGAAUAAGUGCGAAAUUAACGUGAAAUAUGUAAGGAGGAGAUUGUAGACACAAAUCAGAAACUAGUCAUUAUCACAAUUUCAAAAUAGAUUUGCAAAGCCGAGUGUUUACAACAAGUUAUAUAGGUAAUAUAAAUUGUGGAAAAGUUUGGUUCGUCAAACAGAAGUUGACUGCUCAGUUAUGUUCGAUUACGUAUUUACACGUCUAGUUAGAUAAUUUUCUAUAGUACGUAAUAAUUGAUUGUGAACUAAGUCGUCUUGAUCCUGUGGUAAAGGGAGGUAAGUUCUGCCACAUGGGUUCGUGUAGCAUUGGCCAUGGGAGUUCGAAAUUUAGCAUGGUUUUUCCGACUCCAGAAAAUUAGUGUUUGGACCUAAAAACCUUUCGGAAUUACUCCUGAAUUAUAAAAAUAAAAAUAAAUAAUUAUUGAUUGUGAGCUUAUUAGCCGAAUCAAAUUAACCAAAAUUGAAUUAUACAUUACUAUGAUAAUAUAAGUACGUUACUUUAUAUUUAAGGCCAUGCGUUUGGUAUCUCUCUUCCUCAAAAGGAAGAAGCCAAAAGCAACCGGUCAAGUGGAGAUCAGUAGGCAGUAACCAUACACACAACUCACUCGUCUUUCCCCACAAUAGAAAGAUAAGAAAAUGGAGUUUUCUGCCACAUGGCCUUAUCCUAGUGGCCCGUAUCGAUAAGGGUGUCAACACCUUUCCUUAAUUCUGUGGCAGCUAAUGACGGUAUCAUGAAUGAUGGACCCUUUGAUCACUGUAGGGCUUUUUGCCUCUUGUGGUUCGCACUAUAUAAAGAUGAACAAAUCAAUAGGCAGACAAGUAGUAAAGUAAGAGAAAAGAGAAAAAAAGAAGAAGAGAAAAAACAAGAAGAAGUUGUAGUAAUGGCUUCCUCUAUGCUCUCCUCCGCCGCUGUGGUUACCUCCCCGGCUCAAGCCACCAUGGUCGCUCCAUUCACCGGCUUGAAGUCAUCCGCUGCUUUCCCCGUCACCCGCAAGGCCAACAACGACAUUACUUCCAUCGCAAGCAAUGGCGGAAGAGUUAGCUGCAUGAAGGUAAUGUCAUUAAUAAAAAUAGUCUUUUGUAAUGUGCAAUUAGUACAAUUGAACAAAACUGAGAUUAACCGGAAUUGGGAAUUAUAGGUGUGGCCACCAAUUGGAAAGAAGAAGUUUGAGACUCUAUCUUACCUUCCUGACCUUUCCGAUGUCGAAUUGGGAAAGGAAGUUGACUACCUUCUCCGCAACAAGUGGAUUCCCUGUGUCGAAUUCGAGUUGGAGGUAAUUAACUCAUAAGUCUUCCUUGGUCUCUAAGUAUACUUACAUUGCUAGAAACCUAACAAUGUGAAUAGUCCUAUAUCAAUUGUAUUGAAUGGUUUUUUGAUGCGUGUAUAGCACGGAUUUGUGUACCGUGAGCACGGAAGCACACCCGGAUACUACGAUGGAAGGUACUGGACAAUGUGGAAGCUCCCAUUGUUCGGAUGCACUGACUCAGCUCAAGUGUUGAAGGAAGUGGAAGAGUGCAAGAAGGAGUACCCCAACGCCUUCAUCAGGAUCAUCGGAUUCGACAACACCCGUCAAGUCCAAUGCAUCAGUUUCAUCGCCUACAAGCCACCAAGCUUCACCGAAGCUUAAUUUCCCUUUCUUGAAUAUUCAAGCGUUGACUAUUUUGGAAUCCAAUUCUGUAUGGUCAACGCAAAUUUUAAGAAAAAUAAUUAGCCGACUUCAAAGUUGAGAAACUCAAAAGUUGAAUGUUAUUUUUAUAUAUCAAUUUCCCUUUUAUUAUGUCUACUCGUAUAAUUUCACUUUUGCUCUUAGCCUUUUUUUUCUUUUUUCUUAGAUACUUUAACAACAUUUUAGUUCCUAUAAAUCCCCGUAAUAGUUCUUACUCCCUAGACUAAACCAUUAACCUUAAUUUAUAUAAAAAGAGAAAACUGUUUGCUACUUUUUUUGAGAAAUUUUGCAUAUGAAAGCAAUAACAAAGAUGCCUCCAUCAAUCCUUUUGAUACAAUUGAUAGUGAGGAGAGAUAGCGAAAGGUCGUAAAAGACAUAAAGAAAAUCCAAAUGUAACUCAUAACACCAAAACACAUGUAUUCCAAAACCCCUAAGUGGGAUAUUAAGUUUAAUUUGAAGUCCAAGAAUCACUGAGAUGACAUCAUAUCAAUCAAUGAUCAACAAAGACUGAAAUUUAUGAACUAUAUGAAUUUGGAAAAUUUUGGAAAAUUUGAAACUGACGUUAAAUUAAUCACUUAUUUUAUGUAGCUGAAAUUUCUAAUAAAAAUUUCAAGUUAUAAUAUAAUCAAAAUGGUUUAGUUUUCUAUACAAAAAAAAAAUGUUUUUGGAUUUUUCGAUGCAAACGGAAUACAAACCAUUAAUGUGCAAGAUUUCGAAGAUAAAUCACAAAUAUAGUUAGAAGUUUUGAAAUUAGCGAACAAUAUGUCCAUAUCUAGGAUUUAUUCACACCUUUUUGGUAUCAAAUAAAAUCCAAGGUAAAAAGGAAAACAAAAAUAAGGACUUAAAAAAGACAAUAACGUAUACAACAAAAAGGUGAGAAAAUUUUGUAACUUAAAUGGAUGGGUCAGGACUUAUGACUUAGGAUGGUCUUAGUUUUGACAAAUGAUAUAUGUGGUUGAAAUGUGGAGUGGUAUGGAGCUUGUGAUUCAUUUCCCUAACAGGAGAGCUUUUACAUGACAAUGUUUGGUGAUUUUGUAGCUUUAAGGUGAUAGUUGUGAAACCAUGACCAUAGCUUUAUGUGGCUUUAGGCCUUAGGGUCUUCUUGUCUCAGUUCCACACCAUCAAUUGAAAUGAGUUAAUUAUGAUCAUUCCUCAUGAGCCUUUGUUGCUUGCAUGGUUAAGUUGACAUGGUGGUGGGAAUCUACUUGAAGUGCCAUAUUCAUGCUUGAGUAGAUUUAAGUGCAAUGGCGUUGGCGUGGCCGGUUCUAAGGAAUGCGUCGAUAGACUUAUUAAUUCGACUAUGACAAAGAAUGCUUCGAAGUAGCUAAAGGUAGAUAUGCUCGACUGAAAAAUGUAUUUUGAGGUGAUCCAAAGGGUCACAAAAUCGAGUGGUAGCUGGUACGUGUAAAGUAUUAAAAGCUGGCCUUAGAGGAAUAAGCCAAAAACAUACUUAUUAUCGGCGAAAAAGGAGAAAAGACAAAAACUAGUAACCGCUUACGUUGUUGUUUACGUUCAAGUCCGGUCUUGUAAGAAUGACAAUAACACACACUAAAGUAGAUGUUCUAGUUAAUUUUCAACAAAUUUGAUUAUUAGCUAUGCAUUAUGUGCGUAUAUAUAAAUCAAAGUGGUACCAUACGGAUGCUAAUAUUUUUUAAAAUAAUCAAAGAGGUUCUUGGCCGAAACUCAUACAUCCUUUCAGGUCCGAGACCAAAGCAUGUUAUAUGGUCUCGUCCCAAAAUCUACUCGAACCGGCGACCUCUAAACUUUUGUCAGAGAACUUUACCAAUUGAGCUAUUAGCACUUGGUUAUACGGAUGCUAAUAACAUAAAAUGUUAAGUGUUUUUUGUUUCUUCUAAAUAACUAAAAAGCUAUGGGUUAUAAAACAAAACAUUUUAAAUGGUCCUCUUCCAUGUAGCUCUCGAAACCAAAACAUUAUAGUUACAUGUUCUACUUUACAAACAAUUUAGCUUAUAAGAAAUCAGAUAAAACUCCAUACUUUUUUUCUUCAUUUUAUCUUCUUCGUUUAAUAUGCAACAUUAUUCACCAAAUCACGUUAAGCCAAACCAAAUCAUGCAUGGUAAAUAAAAGGUCCAAAAACAUUAAAUUUUAAGGGCAUGCGGCUAAUUUAUUUUCUCCAAAAAGGAAGGAGCCAAAAGCAACCGAUCAAGUGGUGGAGACUAGUAACCAAACACAAUUCACUCGUUUCCUCACAAUAGAAAAGAUAAGAUAAUGGAGUUUUCUGCCACAUGGCCUUAUCCUAGUGGUCCGAAUCGAUAAGGGUGUCAACACCUUUCCUUAAUCCUGUGGCAAUUAACCACGUUAUCAUGAAUCCUGGACCCUUUGAUCAUUAGGUCUUUUUGCCCCUUAUGGGUUCUCACUAUAUAAAGAUGACAAAACCAAUGGACAAAACAAAUAAGUAAGAGUAAAGAGAUAAAAGAAGAAGAGAAACAACAAGAAGAAGUAGUAAUGGCUUCCUCUAUGCUCUCCUCCGCUGCUGUGGUUACCUCCCCAGCUCAAGCCACCAUGGUUGCUCCAUUCACCGGCUUGAAGUCAUCCGCUGCUUUCCCAGUCACCCGCAAGGCGAACAACGACAUUACUUCCAUCGCAAGCAAUGGAGGAAAAGUUAGCUGCAUGAAGGUAAAUAAUGUCAAUAAUAAAAACAUUCUUUUGAAAUGUGCAAUUAGUGCAAUUGAAGAAUAACUAGAAUUGGAUUUGGGAACUAUAGGUGUGGCCACCAAUUGGAAAGAAGAAGUUUGAGACUCUAUCUUACCUUCCUGACCUUUCCGAUGUCGAAUUGGGAAAGGAAGUUGACUACCUUCUCCGCAACAAGUGGAUUCCUUGUGUCGAAUUCGAGUUGGAGGUAACUAACUCAUAAGUCUUCAUUGGUCUCUAAGUAUACUUACAUUGCUAGAAACCUAACAAUGUGAAUAGUCCUAUAUCAAUUGUAUUGAAUGGUUUUUCGAUGCGUGUAUAGCACGGAUUUGUGUACCGUGAGCACGGAAGCACACCCGGAUACUACGAUGGAAGGUACUGGACAAUGUGGAAGCUCCCAUUGUUCGGAUGCACUGACUCAGCUCAAGUGUUGAAGGAAGUGGAAGAGUGCAAGAAGGAGUACCCC